Molecule: long non-coding RNA, 797 nt
Organism: Clupea harengus (Atlantic herring)
Lineage: Eukaryota; Metazoa; Chordata; Actinopteri; Clupeiformes; Clupeidae
Source: Ensembl
GAUGGACAAGAGCGAACCGCUAGUCUGAGCUCCUUAUCUUUAACUUUACAGUGGUAUUAUCUAUGUCUAGCCUAUAGGACGAGACUUAAACGAAUAUCAGUUGUCGGGCAGAUAAUUAGGACAUCAGUGACUGAGUUCUUGUACAGUUUAAUGAGUUUAAAGAAUGUGAGUAGCCUACCUCGUGACGCCUAGCCUGGGCACCAUUUUAGCUCGUAGUGCUCGAGCCAGAUGCAGUCACCAUGGUCCUCGGUGCACGGGACGUAUCCGACUUUGCUGAGUUGCUGAGACAGAGGAGGAUCUCUUUGCCGCUCGUUAAGACAAAGACAGAUGGAGAGAACGCAGUGACGCUAGCUCAAACAGGUCGACACGAGAAACGGGGAUCCACGCACGCUUCCACACACCUGACUCCCCACUCUCUUCCCUUCCAACGCCUCAAGAAUGGCGCUUAGAGCUCAUCGGCACGUGAUGGUGACCUUGUCCCUGCCGACGACCCUACAAUGACCUCUAGCGACCUGGCUCGGGAUGAUGAGGUGCUGGCUAUGGAGCCCCUGCUAAAGCCACGGCCAAAGCUCCUGAGCCAACGUUUUCAGACAGAUCACUGUAAGAGACAGUUCACUACACACUGUACAGUAAUGGCUCUCUUUCUGAAAGACAAAGGUUUAAAAAACGUGUUGAUUGCAGCAAAAGAAACACCUCACAGAGCACCAGAGCUUCAGACUCUCCGAUACCUGACCGUCAUGUUCAUCGAGCUCACACAGCUGGACAACAUCUCACACCUGGUGAGGAGGAGGAGGAGG